This 468-nucleotide long non-coding RNA is filed under the name Mytilus galloprovincialis (Mediterranean mussel). The record is from RNAcentral. Lineage: Eukaryota; Metazoa; Mollusca; Bivalvia; Mytilida; Mytilidae.
AUGGCUCUCUCUUAACACAGUUCAGCCAUUUAUCGUCCCCUUCCGACGGACUAUCAUUGUUUCCUCAAGACCAUACUCGCAGAUGGUGUCAAGGGAGAGCCGAAAAUUGAGUUCCUGAAAUUUUCAUCCCAAACAGGACUCGAACCAGGAACCUUUGUGUCCGAUGCACUAAGGCAGCAACCAUUUGAUUUUCUGGGGGGGGGGGGGGGGGUUGGCUAUGGUUUUUUUUGGAAAAAAAGUUUGUUUCCAGUUUUUGGAGAAAAAAAUAAUUUGUUUUUGAUUCUGAGAAAAAAAAAUUGUUUGUUUCACCCUCAGCUGCCACUAUAUGUAAUGCUAAAAUUGAAAGAAAAAAAAUUGUUUUCGACUUGUUGCGAAAAAAAUAGAUUGUUUUUCGCCGCGGGCGAAAAAAAAAAUUUGUCCAGAAAAAAAAAACCAUAGCCCCCCCAGAAAAUCAAAUGGUUGCUGCCU